This 421-nucleotide ribosomal RNA is filed under the name uncultured bacterium. Its description in RNAcentral is "bacterial SSU rRNA". It matches the Rfam family "Bacterial small subunit ribosomal RNA", at positions 355 to 774 of the family's 1533-position model. The record is from RNAcentral.
UAAGGAAUAUUGGUCAAUGGGCGCAAGUCUGAACCAGCCAUGCCGCGUGAAGGAUGAAGGUCCUCUGGAUUGUAAACUUCUUUUAUCUGGGACGAAAACGGGAUUUUUAUCUCAAUUGACGGUACCAGAGGAAUAAGCACCGGCUAACUCCGUGCCAGCAGCCGCGGUAAUACGGAGGGUGCGAGCGUUAUCCGGAUUUACUGGGUUUAAAGGGUGCGUAGGUGGGCUUAUAAGUCAGUGGUGAAAUCUCCGAGCUUAACUUGGAAACUGCCGUCGAUACUAUAGGUCUUGAAUUAUCUGGAGGUAAGCGGAAUAUGUCAUGUAGCGGUGAAAUGCUUAGAUAUGACAUAGAACACCAAUUGCGGAGGCAGCUUACUACAUAUAAAUUGACGCUGAGGCACGAAAGCGUGGGGAUCAAACA